AUGGCUGACGCGGGUCAAAGUGUAAUAUAUCUGCUCUUAUCACCGUAUUAUCUGAUACGGGUUGCAUUUGGAUCCAAGGUAUUAAACUCCUUUUUGCAAGUUAGCGGAGUGCUUUAGGCCCGCUUCACCUCGCUGCGGGUCGGCCCGGUGUUGCACAAUCUUCAGGAUUUUGGUGUACGGACA
Dermacentor silvarum is the source of this 183-nucleotide small nuclear RNA. RefSeq annotates it as U2 spliceosomal RNA. The record is from RefSeq and is a predicted model, not a curated record. NCBI's taxonomy places the organism in Eukaryota, Metazoa, Arthropoda, Arachnida, Ixodida, Ixodidae. The transcript has a single exon.